Molecule: ribosomal RNA, 249 nt
Filed under: uncultured Parachlamydiaceae bacterium
Lineage: Bacteria; Pseudomonadati; Chlamydiota; Chlamydiia; Parachlamydiales; Parachlamydiaceae
Description: partial 16S ribosomal RNA
Rfam family: Bacterial small subunit ribosomal RNA
Source: RNAcentral
UCGAGAAUCAUUCGCAAUGGGCGAAAGCCUGACGAUGCGACGCCGUGUGAGCGAUGAAGGCCUUUGGGUUGUAAAGCUCUUUCGCUUGGGAACAAGAGAGGCCUAUUAAUACUAGGCCCAUUUGAGGGUACCAGGUAAAGAAGCACCGGCUAACUCCGUGCCAGCAGCUGCGGUAAUACGGAGGGUGCAAGCAUUAAUCGGAUUUAUUGGACGUAAAGGGCGCGUAGGCGGGAAUGUAAGUCGAAUGUU